CGGGCGCGAGUCUGCAGCCGCGAGGGUGGCGGCCAGGGUUCCCCUAACGGAAACGCGGCUUACCGGCGGCCCUGCGCGUGCACACCGCUGCACACUCGCCCACGUGAGCACUCUGGCGUGCAAACUCGCUAACGCACCAAGGGACAAACUAGCGCGCGCCUCGCUUGUGCACCCCGCUGCUUGUGGCUGCUGGUCAGCACCCUCUCCCCGGGGAAGCUCGGCGUCGUGACACUAGCUCCGCGGCGGCUGGGAAGCAUCAGCGCCAUUCUGGAGGAGACAGCUCAGGAGAGUUUAUGACACCUGAUCAGGACCGGAUACUCUCGCAUUUUUCCUUAGGCUGGAAUACCCCUGACUUCACGGAUAUGACCUCAUGGAGUGCCUGGACUGAGAAGAGACAGUGAAGGCUCCAUUGUCUGAACACCAGCCGCCCCACCUCAUCCAGGACCUUUCCCCAGCUGCCUCUUCCUCUACCCGCUUGUCCACUGAGCUGGAAACCUGGAAGACGCCACCAUUCCCCCAACUCACAAAAAAUCCUAGUGAUUCUCCCCCUCUGAAUGGCUGAGGCAAUCUCCAAGGGAGGGCAUGAACCUGUUCUGUUUUGGUUAGACCUGACCCAGUACCUAGCGAUGCCGGGCAUCCCAGAGGUACCCAAUAAACACUUGUGCAGAA
This is a long non-coding RNA of Talpa occidentalis (Iberian mole), 669 nucleotides long. RefSeq lists it as uncharacterized. The transcript has 3 exons. Lineage: Eukaryota; Metazoa; Chordata; Mammalia; Eulipotyphla; Talpidae. The record is from RefSeq and is a predicted model, not a curated record.